This 21-nucleotide non-coding RNA is filed under the name Caenorhabditis elegans. Lineage: Eukaryota; Metazoa; Nematoda; Chromadorea; Rhabditida; Rhabditidae. The record is from RNAcentral.
UCAAUUCGAAGUUGUCACAUC